CGGUGUGCUGGGAUAACUGCUCUUAAUUUUCAGUUGAGAGGCAGAAUUUUGAGGUGAGGUAAAUGCAUAAUCCUUUAAAAGACUAUUGUUUUCUGUUGACUGGAAUGGAGUACAUUGAUUAGAACUGCUUUCAAAAACUUGACCUUCUUGUGAAUGUGGAUCAAUAGAAUGGUCAGCCAAUUUCUCAUAUGGCAUUCUGCCUUGGCUCCCAACAUAUUUUUUGGAGUCACUACUCACUUCAUCUGUCCCUGGGCUGUUAUUAGCACCUGCUCCAGUAAAUCCUGAUGCA
Molecule: unclassified non-coding RNA, 289 nt
Filed under: Hevea brasiliensis (rubber tree)
Lineage: Eukaryota; Viridiplantae; Streptophyta; Magnoliopsida; Malpighiales; Euphorbiaceae
Source: RNAcentral